GGCUGCGGCCGAUCAGGCUGUUGGUGAGGUAAAUGGCUCACCAAAACCUUUGACCGGUACGGGCCAUGAGAGUGGUAGCCCGGAGAUGGACACUGAGACAAGGGUUCAGGCCCUAAGGGGCGCAGCAACCGAGAAACCUCCACAAUGCACUCACGUGCGAUGGGGCUAUCUCGAGUGCCACCUGAUGAAGGUGGCUUUUCCUUGGUCUUCAAAGCCUUGGGAAUAAGAGGGGGGCAAGACUGGUGUCAGCCGCCGCGGUAACACCAGCCCCUCGAGUGGUGGGGAUGAUUAUUUGGCCUAAAGCGUCCGUAGCCGGCCGUGAAAGUCUUCCGUUAAAUCCAGCGUCUCAAGCGUUGGACCGCGGGAGAUACUACAUGGCUAGAGAGUGGGAGAGGUCAGCGGUAUUCUGGGGGUAGGGGCGAAAUCCUUUGAUCCCCGGAGGACCACCAGUGGCGAAGGCUGCUGACUAGAACACGUCUGACGGUCAGGGACGAAAGCUGGGGUAGCGAACCGGAUUAGAUACCCGGGUAGUCCCAGCCGUAAACGAUGCAUGCUAGGUGUUGGGUUGGCCACGAGCCACCCCAGUGCCGCAGGGAAGCCGUUAAGCAUGCCGCCUGGGAAGUACGAUCGCAAGAUUGAAACUUAAAGGAAUUGGCGGGGGAGCACCACCAGGCGUGAAGCCUGCGGUUUAAUUGGAUUCAACGCCGGG
This 709-nucleotide ribosomal RNA is filed under the name uncultured archaeon. RNAcentral's name for it is "bacterial SSU rRNA". It matches the Rfam family "Archaeal small subunit ribosomal RNA", at positions 213 to 922 of the family's 1478-position model. The record is from RNAcentral.